Molecule: ribosomal RNA, 153 nt
Filed under: Trichomonas sp. 1 AP-2012
Lineage: Eukaryota; Parabasalia; Trichomonadida; Trichomonadidae
Description: 5.8S ribosomal RNA
Rfam family: 5.8S ribosomal RNA
About the family: 5.8S ribosomal RNA (5.8S rRNA) is a component of the large subunit of the eukaryotic ribosome. It is transcribed by RNA polymerase I as part of the 45S precursor that also contains 18S and 28S rRNA.
Source: RNAcentral
UCUCUAGGCAAUGGAUGUCUUGGCUCCUCACACGAUGAAGAACGUGGCAUAAUGUGUUAAGUAACCGGAGUUGCAAACAUCAUGACAGGUUAAUCUUUGAAUGCAAAUUGCGCCUUUCCGGCUUCGGCCGUGUAGGCAUGGAUGCAACAGUAC